This 428-nucleotide ribosomal RNA is filed under the name uncultured bacterium. RNAcentral's name for it is "bacterial SSU rRNA". It matches the Rfam family "Bacterial small subunit ribosomal RNA", at positions 73 to 517 of the family's 1533-position model. The record is from RNAcentral.
UACUAGCUUGCUAGUAUGUCAGCUAAGUGGCGGACGGGUGAGUAAUGUAUAGUUAAUCUGCCCUUCAGAGGGGGAUAACAGUUAGAAAUGACUGCUAAUACCCCAUACUCCUUUUUAAUUAAUUUAGAUUGGGAAAUGUCUUUUCGCUGAAGGAUGAGACUAUAUGGUAUCAGGUAGUUGGUGGGGUAAGAGCCUACCAAGCCAAUGACGCCUAGCUGGUCUGAGAGGAUGAUCAGCCACACUGGAACUGAGACACGGUCCAGACUCCUACGGGAGGCAGCAGUGGGGAAUAUUGCACAAUGGGGGAAACCCUGAUGCAGCAACGCCGCGUGGAGGAUGACACAUUUCGGUGCGUAAACUCCUUUUAUAUGGGAAGAUAAUGACGGUACCAUAUGAAUAAGCACCGGCUAACUCCGUGCCAGCAGCCG